RNAcentral lists this long non-coding RNA (2106 nucleotides) under Salmo salar (Atlantic salmon). RNAcentral's name for it is "lncRNA (ENSSSAG00000091667.1)". Lineage: Eukaryota; Metazoa; Chordata; Actinopteri; Salmoniformes; Salmonidae. The record is from RNAcentral.
UUCAGAGAGGGUUAGUUGGUGUUGUCUGUACUGUCAUGGUGGUUUCAGAGAGGGUUAGUUGGUGUUGUCUGUACUGUCAUGGUGGUUUCAGAGAGGGUUAGUUGGUGUUGUCUGUACUGUCAUGGUGGUUUCAGAGAGGGUUAGUUGGUAUUGUCUGUACUGUCAUGGUGGUUUCAGAGAGGGUUAGAUGGUGGUUGUCUGGGGUUGGUAGAUGAGGUGAGAUUAGCUUGGCGUCUGUGAACUGUAGUGUUAUUGUUCUAAGAUUGUAGAGUGGCGUGAUGGAUGGAUGGAUGGAUGGAUGGAUAGGUGGUGGGAGUACAUUAUUAGAAGGAUUCCACAGGUUGUUGUGGUAGAUAAGAUGUAUCAGUCACUGUCUGACAGUGGAUAGGAUGUUUGCUGUAGUGUUGUUAGUGGAGGUUAGGACUAGUAACAGGGAUGUUGUAGUGUUUGUGGAGGUUAGGACUAGUAACAGGGAUGUUGUAGUGUUGGUGGAGGUUAGGACUAGUAACAGGGAUGUUGUAGUGUUGGUGGAGGUUAGGACUAGUAACAGGGAUGUUGUAGUGUUAGUGGAGGUUAGGACUAGUGACAGGGAUGUUGUGGUGUUGGUGGAGGUUAGGACUAGUAACAGGGAUGUUGUAGUGUUAGUGGAGGUUAGGACUAGUAACAGGGAUGUUGUGGUGUUGGUGGAGGUUAGGACUAGUAACAGGGAUGUUGUAGUGUUGGUGGAGGUUAGGACUAGUAACAGGGAUGUUGUAGUGUUUGUGGAGGUUAGGACUAGUAACAGGGAUGUUGUGGUGUUUGUGGAGGUUAGGACUAGUAACAGGGAUGUUGUAGUGUUAGUGGAGGUUAGGAUUAGUAACAGGGAUGUUGUGGAGGUUAGGACUAGUAACAGGGAUGUUGUAGUGUUUGUGGAGGUUAGGACUAGUAACAGGGAUGUUGUAGUGUUAGUGGAGGUUAGGAUUAGUAACAGGGAUGUUGUGGAGGUUAGGACUAGUAACAGGGAUGUUGUAGUGUUUGUGGAGGUUAGGACUAGUAACAGGGAUGUUGUAGUGUUUGUGGAGGGUAGGACUAGUAACAGGGAUGUUGUAGUGUUGGUGGAGGUUAGGACUAGUAACAGGGAUGUUGUGGAGGUUAGGACUAGUAACGGGGAUGUUGUGGUGUUGGUGGAGGUUAGGACUAGUAACAGGGAUGUUGUAGUGUUUGGAGGUUAGGACUAGUAACAGGGAUGUUGUAGUGUUAGUGGAGGUUAGGACUAGUGACAGGGAUGUUGUGGUGUUAGUGGAGGUUAGGACUAGUGACAGGGAUGUUGUGGUGUUAGUGGAGGUUAGGACUAGUAACAGGGAUGUUGUGGUGUUGGUGGAGGUUAGGACUAGUAACAGGGAUGUUGUAGUGUUAGUGGAGGUUAGGACUAGUAACAGGGAUGUUGUAGUGUUGGUGGAGGUUAGGACUAGUAACAGGGAUGUUGUAGUGUUGGUGGAGGUUAGGACUAGUAACAGGGAUGUUGUAGUGUUCAUUGAGGUUAGGACUAGUAACAGGGAUGUUGUAGUGUUAGUGGAGGUUAGGACUAGUUACAGGGAUGUUGUAGUGUUCAUUGAGGUUAGGACUAGUAACAGGGAUGUUGUAGUGUUAGUGGAGGUUAGGACUAGUAACAGGGAUGUUGUAGUGUUCAUUGAGGUUUGGACUAGUAACAGGGAUGUUGUAGUGUUAGUGGAGGUUUGGACUAGUGACAGGGUUACAGAGCCAUGGUGGUGUUGAUGUUGUCUCUAUGGAAGUGCUGCCCUGGAAGAGCAAGGUAUUCAUCCAGUGUUGUAGACCCAGCCGUGCAUUUCUCUCUCUGUCAUUUUCUGUCUCUUUCUGUCUGUCUCUCUUUGUCGCUCUCUCUUUCUCUCGCUCUCCCUCCUUCUCUCUCUUCAUCUGUCUCUCGGCCUUUCGCUCUAUCUCGCCCUCUGUGUGUUAGUGAUUACAUCACUCGCCCUCUCUGUCUCUUUCUCUCUCUCUCUCUCUCUCUCUCUCUCUCUCUCUCUCUCUCUCUCUCGCCAUCUCUGUGUCUCUCUCUCGCCCUCUCUGUCUCUCUCUCUCUCUCUCUCUGCCUCUUGCAUAACUGCC